RNAcentral lists this ribosomal RNA (465 nucleotides) under uncultured bacterium. RNAcentral's name for it is "partial 16S ribosomal RNA". It matches the Rfam family "Bacterial small subunit ribosomal RNA", at positions 339 to 795 of the family's 1533-position model. The record is from RNAcentral.
CUACGGGCUGCUCCAGUGAGGAAUUUUGCGCAAUGGGGGCAACCCUGACGCAGCAACGCCGCGUGAGUGAAGAAGGCCUUUGGGUCGUAAAGCUCUGUCAACAGGGAAGAAGUUACUUCAUAUUAAUAGUAUGUAGUAUUGACGGUACCUGUGGAGGAAGCAUCGGCUAACUCCGUGCCAGCAGCCGCGGUAAUACGGGGGAUGCAAGCGUUAUUCGGAAUCAUUGGGCGUAAAGGGCACGCAGGCGGCUCUGUCAGUCAGAUGUGAAAGCCCGGGGCUCAACCCCGGACGUGCAUUUGAAACAGCAGAGCUUGAGUACGGUAGAGGAAAGCGGAAUUCCUGGUGUAGAGGUGAAAUUCGUAGAUAUCAGGAGGAACACCGGUGGCGAAGGCGGCUUUCUGGACCGAAACUGACGCUGAGGUGCGAAGGCGUGGGUAGCGAACAGGAUUAGAUACCCUCGUAGUC